UAACUUUUAGUGUAAAAGCACGAAAAAUUUUGAUUUUUUAGGAAAUAAUUUACUUUAUUAAAGUUAA
RNAcentral lists this transfer RNA (67 nucleotides) under Amblyomma triguttatum (ornate kangaroo tick). Its description in RNAcentral is "tRNA-Glu". Lineage: Eukaryota; Metazoa; Arthropoda; Arachnida; Ixodida; Ixodidae. The record is from RNAcentral.